Cyanistes caeruleus (blue tit) is the source of this 882-nucleotide non-coding RNA. Lineage: Eukaryota; Metazoa; Chordata; Aves; Passeriformes; Paridae. The record is from RefSeq and is a predicted model, not a curated record.
UUCAAAAGACUCCCAUCACAGUGAAGGUAGCAUCAGAGGGAGCUCCUUUGCUAAGCCUGACUGCAGCACAACCCAUGGAUAGAGAGCUGUUGCCUGUGUCCUGGGACCUCCUGAGCCUGUCUCCUGAGAGAUUCGUGACUGAACACAAUAUCAUUGAAUACCCAAGCCUUCUAACAUGGCCUCCUUCAGGUACUGACAGUCUGCAAUAAGGUCACCGUGGAGCAAUACCUUCUCCAGGCUGAACAACCCCAACUCUCUCAGCCUUUCUUCACAAGAAAGGUGCUCCAGCCCUCUGAUCAACUCCAUGGUCCCCCUCUGGACAAACAAAUGAAACUUUACCUAUAGGUGUAUGUGACACUGCUCUGAGUCAGGGCUAUGUUAUAAAUACUUCAGAGGUCCUUUCCAGCUGCCUAGGUCUGUGAAUUUCCACAUGUGAGGUCACACAGUAGAUGUGGUCCCAGGAGAAAAACCACAAGUUGCAGAGGGCCUUCUGCAUCCAGUGGCAGCUCUUUGUAUGACAAGCCUUGGGAGGAAGAAACACUCUGGAUGAGGAGCUUUCUUGAAGGAAAGAAGCAUUCAGAACCACCAAAAAGGUGACCAAAAUCCUGAUUUGCCUGUGCCACUGUGCAGGACAAUUCCUUAGCUGAUCUGAUGUGACUGAAUUUUGUUCUUCUCUCUUAUACCAGGCUUUGCGAUCUGCUUUCUCAGAGGGGCAUAGUUUAUGCAAGAAUUACUAAAAUGAAAUAUAACUGCAGCCUCAACUAUUAAUCAUUUUGGAAAUGAAACCCCAGGCUUUCUCACACUGCAUACAGGAAAGGAGUACAAGCACAGACUUGAUGUAUAUACAUACACACAUAUAAAACAGAGCCAUUGGAAAACUGA